AUUCAAUCUUAAUUUAAUCCUAGUUGUAAUCUUACUUCAUUCAAACUUUAGGCCAAAACUAACUAAAUCUUAAAUCUUAAACAAACUCAAAUAAAAUCCUAAACCCUGAAUCAAAUCUUGAUCAAAAUCUAACCAAAUCUUAACCCUAAAUCAAAUCCUAACCAAACCCUAAUCCUAAAUCAAAUCCUAAUCAAAUCCUAAACCCUAAAUCAAACCCUAAUUCUAAAUCAAAUCCUAACCAAAUCCUAACCAAAUCCUAAAUCCUAAACCAAACCAUAAUCCUAAAUCAAACCCUAACCAAAUUCUAAAUCCUAAACCAAACUCUAAUCCUAAAUCAAACCCUAAUCAAAUCCUAAAAUCUAAACCAAAUCCUAAUCCUAAAUCAAAUCCUAACCAAAACCUAAUCCUAAACCAAAUCCUAAUCCUAAAUCAAAUCCUAACCAAAACCUAAUCCUAAUACUAAAUCCUAAACCAAACCCUAACCAAAUCCUAACCAAACCUUAAUUCCUAAAUCAAAUCUUAAUCAAACCUUAAUCCUAAAUCAAAUCCUAAUCCUAAAUCAAAUCCUAAUCAAAUCUUAAAUCCUAAACCAAACACUAAUCCUAAAUCAAAUCUUAACCAAAUCCUAACCCUAAUUCUAAACCCUAAAGAAAACUCUAAUCAAAUCCUAACCCUAAAUCAAACCCUAACCAAACCCUAACCCUAAA
Molecule: long non-coding RNA, 707 nt
Filed under: Physcomitrium patens
Lineage: Eukaryota; Viridiplantae; Streptophyta; Bryopsida; Funariales; Funariaceae
Description: long non-coding RNA (PPAT_LNC007595)
Source: RNAcentral